ACAGUGGACGCGAGCAUCUGUGGCCAAGUUUUUAAGGGCGCACGGUGGAUGCCUUGGCACCAGGAACCG
This 69-nucleotide ribosomal RNA is filed under the name Streptomyces sp. XY431. RNAcentral's name for it is "partial 23S ribosomal RNA". Lineage: Bacteria; Bacillati; Actinomycetota; Actinomycetes; Kitasatosporales; Streptomycetaceae. The record is from RNAcentral.